This 340-nucleotide unclassified non-coding RNA is filed under the name soil metagenome. RNAcentral's name for it is "partial contains 5.8S ribosomal RNA, internal transcribed spacer 2, and large subunit ribosomal RNA". The stretch from base 1 to 120 matches the Rfam family "5.8S ribosomal RNA", at positions 35 to 154 of the family's 154-position model. The record is from RNAcentral.
GAUGAAGAACGCAGCGAAAUGCGAUAAGUAGUGUGAAUUGCAGAAUUCAGUGAAUCACCGAAUCUUUGAACGCACAUUGCGCCCCUUGGUAUUCCAUGGGGCAUGCCUGUUCGAGCGUCAUCUACACCCUCAAGCUCUGCUUGGUGUUGGGCGUCUGUCCCGCCUGCGGGCGUUGGACUCGCCCCGAAUGCAUUGGCAGCGUCCCUUGCCCCCUCUCGCGCAGCACAUUGCGCUUCUCGAGGGCGGCUCCGGGGCGCGACCCACCGAAGAUGACCACCGUCUUUGACCUCGGAUCAGGUAGGGAUACCCGCUGAACUUAAGCAUAUCAAUAAGCGGAGGA